AAUGGUUAGGAUCUUCUGCUUGUGCAGGGUAUGAACUAAAAGACCUCCAAAAUCCCUUCCAACUCCAUUAUUCUAAACCAAUUAUACAAGCC
Pseudonaja textilis is the source of this 92-nucleotide non-coding RNA. Lineage: Eukaryota; Metazoa; Chordata; Lepidosauria; Squamata; Elapidae. The record is from RefSeq and is a predicted model, not a curated record.